Molecule: microRNA precursor, 127 nt
Filed under: Myotis lucifugus (little brown bat)
Lineage: Eukaryota; Metazoa; Chordata; Mammalia; Chiroptera; Vespertilionidae
Description: mir-9193 microRNA precursor family
Rfam family: mir-9193 microRNA precursor family
Source: Rfam by way of RNAcentral
CGUGCACUGAUGGGGUCCCUCGGCCUGGUCUGUGCCCUCUUGUAAUCCAGGACCCCUCGGGGGAUGUCAGAGAGCUGGUUUCAGCCCGAUCCCCACAGGCCAGGCCGAGGGACCCCACCAGUGCACA